CCAGUUGUAUAUAUCCUUUACGGGCAGUCUUUUGGUUGGCGAGUCCUCGAUGGCCAUAAAUAUGAGGCAGCUAAAGGAGUAAGGAGGUUUGCAGUUGGGGUUCUGCUUGGCAUCGUAGGGCAUGUCCGAGUGGGCGGGGGACGGAGGCGUGUCGUCACCAAUGUCCUGAACGGGGCUGACGCUUCGUAACACCGAGUCCCCAAAGCUCUUCAGCAAGUUCUUGCUCUCGUGUAACCAGUUCAAGUUAGUUAGUUCUUCAUCUUCCAUGGCCCCUUUAUCUAAUCUGAUGGCAGGCAAAGAGAAAUCUAGGUCCUCGUCAUCGUGAAGUGCCUUUGACAAAUCGCUAUCUUGGUAACGCUGGCUCAGCCCGCUGGGAACACUGAUUCCUGAGCCCUCCGGCUUCUUGCUGGGCGGCAUGACUGGACCCAUUGAGGCAGAGGCUCCUGGCGGGGGGCGGCCUCAGCGCGGUCCUUCCAUGGCUGCGGCGCAAACUUUCAUCUGACGGAGGCGGGCAUGGCGCGCCCCGCCUCAGCCCGAGCCCCGAGCGCGCCGCGGGGGUCCCGGCGCGGGGCGCUCCGCCGCCUGCAUGGGCUCGGCCGCACCGCCCCCCACCCCGCGCCGCCGGGCAGCGGUCCGCCCGGCGCGAGCCGAAGAGCGAGAAAUUGUUUCCACCGCAAACAAAAAAGGCGACACAUGACCAGGGAGGAGGGGAGAGAGGGAAAACGUGGGCCGGGCCACCGCGCCGGGAGAGCCGCGGAAGGGAGGGAGGGCC
Molecule: long non-coding RNA, 772 nt
Filed under: Gallus gallus (chicken)
Lineage: Eukaryota; Metazoa; Chordata; Aves; Galliformes; Phasianidae
Source: RNAcentral